Molecule: ribosomal RNA, 517 nt
Filed under: uncultured Acaulospora
Lineage: Eukaryota; Fungi; Glomeromycota; Glomeromycetes; Diversisporales; Acaulosporaceae
Description: SSU rRNA
Rfam family: Eukaryotic small subunit ribosomal RNA
Source: RNAcentral
AGCAGCCGCGGUAAUUCCAGCUCCAAUAGCGUAUAUUAAAGUUGUUGCAGUUAAAAAGCUCGUAGUUGAAUUUCGGGAUUUAUCCGUUGGUCGGGCUUUUGGGUCUGUACAGGCGUGAUGGAUUUCUACCUUCUGAAUAUCCGGCAUGUCAUUAAUUUGGUGCAUUGGGGAAGCAGGACUGUUACCUUGAAAAAUUAGAGUGCUUAAAGCAGGCUAUUGCCUGAAUACAUUAGCAUGGAAUAAUGAAAUAGGACGGCAUGGUUCUAUUUGUUGGUUUCUAGGAUCACCGUAAUGAUUAAUAGGGAUAGUUGGGGGCAUUAGUAUUCAAUUGUCAGAGGUGAAAUUCUUGGAUUUAUUGAAGACUAACUUCUGCGAAAGCAUUUGCCAAGGAUGUUUUCAUUAAUCAAGAACGAAAGUUAGGGGAUCGAAGACGAUCAGAUACCGUCGUAGUCUUAAACCAUAAACUAUGCCGAACUAGGGAAUCGGACGAUGUUAAUUUUUAAUGACUCGUUCCGCG